RNAcentral lists this non-coding RNA (759 nucleotides) under Archon apollinus (false apollo). Lineage: Eukaryota; Metazoa; Arthropoda; Insecta; Lepidoptera; Papilionidae. The record is from RNAcentral.
UAAAGAAUUUAAUUUAAAUUUAUUUUACAUAUAAAUUUUUGUAUGAAUUUAUGAUUAUUUUAAUAAUAAUUAUUUAUUUUUGUAGUAAUUAAAAUUAAAAAUUUAAGAAAUUAAGAUUUAGUAAUAUUUAGAUUAUUAACAAAUUUUGUGCCAGCAGUUGCGGUUAUACAAAAAAUAAUUUAAAUUAUAUCAGUAUAUAAUUAAUAAUAAUAAUUAUAAUUAAUUUAAAUAUUAAAUUAUUAGGUAAAAUUUUAAUUUAAUUAAAAUUUAUUUAAAUUUUAUGAUUUAUAAAAUUUUAUAAAAAACUAGGAUUAGAUACCCUAUUAUUAAAAAUUAAAUUAUAAUACUAAAAUAGUAGAUAAUAAUUUAUUGAAACUUAAAUAAUUUGGCGGUAUUUUAGUACAUUUAGAGGAAUCUGUCUAAUAAUUGAUAAUCCACGAAUAAAUUUACUUAAUUUAUAAUUUUGUAUAUCGUUGUUAAAAAAAUAUUUUUUAAUAAUAAUAAUAUUUAAAAAUUUACAUAUAAAAUUAAUUCAGAUCAAGAUGCAGAUUAUAAUUAAGAAUAUGAUGGAUUACAAUAAAAUUAAUUAAAUGAAUAAUAUUUUGUAAUAAAUAUUUGAAGGUGGAUUUAAAUGUAAUUUUAUUUAAUUUAAUAAAAUGAUUAUAUAUUAAAAUAUGUACAUAUUGCCCGUCGCUUUCAUUAAUAAGUUGGAAUAAGUCGUAACAAAGUAGAGGUACUGGAAAGUGUUUCUAGAAAGAU